RNAcentral lists this long non-coding RNA (573 nucleotides) under Homo sapiens (human). Its description in RNAcentral is "HSALNT0309365". The record is from RNAcentral. Lineage: Eukaryota; Metazoa; Chordata; Mammalia; Primates; Hominidae.
GUCUCCAAAAGCCUCAUUCUUUCCCUUGGUUUAUGAUAUUCAAUUUGGCUCCUGCUGUAAUGUACACUGAAACCUCAGGCUGCUGAGCUAUCUUGAUGGUUUUAAGAAGACAAUCUGGUGCCUUUACCUGCUAGAGAAGUCACCUAGAAUCCUGUUGUUUAAGAACUACUUAACAAUAUACAUACUGAUCCAUUGUGGAAUUAUUAAGGAAAAUACAUUGAAAUAGGUGGCAUUCUUGUCAAAGAUAUAUAUGGACGGCUAGAUGGAUAGAUAGGUGAAAAUCAUGUUCCAUGGAAGAAGAGUUAGCUCAGCCUGCAACUCAAACAAGUACAGAUAUUCUUCCAUGGAAUGACCAUCAUACUUGGAUUGUAAUAAAAAUGCUUUAGGCAAACUUCUCAUUUCAUCCUUGGCAUAUUAAAAAUAUGUAUGUAUGUUUAAGGCUUGAAACUUAACACUGUAUUUUAAUGUUUCAGUAAGGUAAUUCUUCUUAAAUAAAAUUGGCAUUUUUAAAAAAGCCCUCUCUCACCACUCCUAUUCAACAUAGUGUUGGAAGUUCUGGCCAGGGCAAUUAGG